Molecule: ribosomal RNA, 420 nt
Filed under: uncultured bacterium
Lineage: Bacteria
Description: partial 16S ribosomal RNA
Rfam family: Bacterial small subunit ribosomal RNA
Source: RNAcentral
AAUAUUGGACAAUGGUGGCAACCCUGAUCCAGCCAUGCCGCGUGUGUGAAGAAGGUCUUCGGAUUGUAAAGCACUUUAAGUUGGGAGGAAGGGCUUUAGGUUAAUACCCUGAAGUUUUGACGUUACCAACAGAAUAAGCACCGGCUAACUCUGUGCCAGCAGCCGCGGUAAUACGGAGGGUGCAAGCGUUAAUCGGAAUUACUGGGCGUAAAGCGCGCGUAGGUGGUUCAGUAAGAUGGGUAUGAAAGCCCGGGCUUAACCUGGGAAAUGCUUUCAUAACUGCUGAGCUAGAGUACGGUAGAAGGUAGUGGAAUUUCCGGUGUAGCGGUGAAAUGCGUAGAUAUAGGAAGGAACACCAGUGGCGAAGGCGACUACAUGGACUGAUACUGAAACUGAGGUGCGAAAGCGUGGGGAGCAAAC